RNAcentral lists this microRNA (23 nucleotides) under Equus caballus (horse). RNAcentral's name for it is "eca-miR-8937". Lineage: Eukaryota; Metazoa; Chordata; Mammalia; Perissodactyla; Equidae. The record is from miRBase by way of RNAcentral.
UCCCGUCCUGAGGGAGCGCUGGG